CAAUAGCAGUCGUAUCAAGGUAUCCGUAGAGGUGGAUUAGUGGCGAACGGGUGAGUAACACGUGAGCAACCUGCCCUUGACUCUGGGAUAAGCCUGGGAAACUGGGUCUAAUACCGGAUAGUACCCUUUGCCGCAUGGUGGGGGGUGGAAAGCCUUGUGCGGUCUUGGAUGGGCUCGCGGCCUAUCAGCUUGUUGGUGGGGUGAUGGCCUACCAAGGCGACGACGGGUAGCCGGCCUGAGAGGGUGACCGGCCACACUGGGACUGAGACACGGCCCAGACUCCUACGGGAGGCAGCAGUGGGGAAUAUUGCACAAUGGGCGAAAGCCUGAUGCAGCGACGCCGCGUGGGGGAUGACGGCCUUCGGGUUGUAAACCCCUUUCGGCAGGGAACAAGCCGCUUCGGUGGUGAGGGUACCUGCGGAAGAAGCGCCGGCUAACUACGUGCCAGCAGCCGCGGUAAUACGUAGGGCGCGAGCGUUAUCCGGAAUUAUUGGGCGUAAAGAGCUCGUAGGCGGUUUGUCGCGUCUGCUGUGAAAGCCCGGGGCUCAACCCCGGGUCUGCAGUGGGUACGGGCAGGCUGGAGUGCAGUAGGGGAGACUGGAAUUCCUGGUGUAGCGGUGAAAUGCGCAGAUAUCAGGAGGAACACCGAUGGCGAAGGCAGGUCUCUGGGCUGUAACUGACGCUGAGGAGCGAAAGCAUGGGGAGCGAACAGGAUUAGAUACCCUGGUAGUCCAUGCCGUAAACGUUGGGCACUAGGUGUGGGGGCCAUUCCACGGUUUCCGCGCCGCAGCUAACGCAUUAAGUGGCCCCGCCUGGGGGAGUACGGCCCGCAAGGG
Molecule: ribosomal RNA, 836 nt
Filed under: Sinomonas sp.
Lineage: Bacteria; Bacillati; Actinomycetota; Actinomycetes; Micrococcales; Micrococcaceae
Description: bacterial SSU rRNA
Rfam family: Bacterial small subunit ribosomal RNA
Source: RNAcentral